CAAUGCAAAGCGAACAGAACUGAGUAGGGGAGGACCGCGGUCCGUGUACUUUGCGGCCAAUGGAUUUUCGUUUUGAAAUGAGAAAACCAAAAUCGGGAAACGAGCUGUAUCCCGAAUACCAUAUAGAGAUAGGAAAACAAAAAUCCGAAAAUGACCCAUUUUCCGAAUUUUGUUUUGAUAAUAGAAAACGGAAAACGGUAAAACGACCAGUUAUCUGAUUUUCUUUGAUGUGCUUAAACAUGGACAUCGGGAAUUAAAAUACUGCGUGGAAAUCUUCUUUCUCAAUUUUGCAAAGAUUUUGUGUUGUGACCCGGAAGUUGCUCUCACAAGCUUAACCGUUACAUCUAAUUAAGCAUGGAAUGGAAAUGGAGAGCUUCAUAUUGUUUCGCGGACCCAAACGGCUGACUAUGAAGCAAGAGGACAUGUCUGCAGACAAAAUUUGCAGGAUUUUUCAGGUCAGUUGCAGCAGUCUUUAUAUCACGGACGACUCCAACACGGCAAUAUUUCCAGAGCCAGCAGGCCAUUUUUCAAUAAUUAAUCUAACUAAUCGCAGUCAUUAUGAGGUCCACGGCGAUGCAGAGCACCUUCCACCCGCUGCUGGUGCUCCUGCUUUUGGGUUCAUGCGCCGACCCUCACCGGCUUCUGCUUCUGCCACAUCUUUUUCUGCGUCUGGUUUUUCCACUGAAACACCACCACCACCACCACGAGCUGGAACUCCACGAGCUAGUGGAGCUAGCUUGUUCCAGGGAAGAUCAUUCCAAAGGUCAAUCCAUCUGGCAGAAAUUGUUAAUGAGAAACUCAGUCCUUCCAGGACAGUAGUUGUGCGCUUUUGGAAG
Molecule: long non-coding RNA, 836 nt
Organism: Gadus morhua (Atlantic cod)
Lineage: Eukaryota; Metazoa; Chordata; Actinopteri; Gadiformes; Gadidae
Exons: 3
Source: RefSeq, a predicted model, not a curated record